GGUGUUGUAGCUCAGUGGAGGAGCACUUGCCUAACAUGUGUGAUGCCCUGGGUUCAAUCCUCAGCACCACAU
This 72-nucleotide transfer RNA is filed under the name Ictidomys tridecemlineatus (thirteen-lined ground squirrel). Its description in RNAcentral is "Spermophilus tridecemlineatus (thirteen-lined ground squirrel) tRNA". It matches the Rfam family "tRNA". From Rfam's summary of the family: Transfer RNA (tRNA) molecules are approximately 80 nucleotides in length. The record is from Rfam by way of RNAcentral. Lineage: Eukaryota; Metazoa; Chordata; Mammalia; Rodentia; Sciuridae.